This 258-nucleotide ribosomal RNA is filed under the name uncultured bacterium. RNAcentral's name for it is "partial 16S ribosomal RNA". It matches the Rfam family "Bacterial small subunit ribosomal RNA", at positions 524 to 777 of the family's 1533-position model. The record is from RNAcentral.
UACGAAGGGGGCUAGCGUUGCUCGGAAUCACUGGGCGUAAAGGGUGCGUAGGCGGGUCUUUUAAGUCAGGGGUGAAAUCCUGGAGCUCAACUCCAGAACUGCCUUUGAUACUGAAGAUCUUGAGUUCGGGGAGAGGUGAGUGGAACUGCGAGUGUAGAGGUGAAAUUCGUAGAUAUUCGCAAGAACACCAGUGGCGAAGGCGGCUCACUGGCCCGAUACUGACGCUGAGGCACGGAAAAGCGUGGGGAGCAAACAGGG